This 484-nucleotide ribosomal RNA is filed under the name uncultured bacterium. Its description in RNAcentral is "partial 16S ribosomal RNA". It matches the Rfam family "Bacterial small subunit ribosomal RNA", at positions 30 to 507 of the family's 1533-position model. The record is from RNAcentral.
AUUGAACGCUGGCGGCAGGCCUAACACAUGCAAGUCGAGCGGAUGAAGGGAGCUUGCUCCUGGAUUCAGCGGCGGACGGGUGAGUAAUGCCUAGGAAUCUGCCUGGUAGUGGGGGAUAACGUCCGGAAACGGGCGCUAAUACCGCAUACGUCCUGAGGGAGAAAGUGGGGGAUCUUCGGACCUCGCGCUAUCAGAUGAGCCUAGGUCGGAUUAGCUAGUUGGUGGGGUAAAGGCCUACCAAGGCGACGAUCCGUAACUGGUCUGAGAGGAUGAUCAGUCACACUGGAACUGAGACACGGUCCAGACUCCUACGGGAGGCAGCAGUGGGGAACAUUGGACAAUGGGCGAAAGCCUGAUCCAGCCAUGCCGCGUGUGUGAAGAAGGUCUUCGGAUUGUAAAGCACUUUAAGUUGGGAGGAAGGGCAGUAAGUUAAUACCUUGCUGUUUUGACGUUACCAACAGAAUAAGCACCGGCUAACUUCGUG